Molecule: long non-coding RNA, 3007 nt
Filed under: Hordeum vulgare
Lineage: Eukaryota; Viridiplantae; Streptophyta; Magnoliopsida; Poales; Poaceae
Description: long non-coding RNA (HVUL_LNC009752)
Source: RNAcentral
UCAUAUAGAAGACGACAAAGACAAAAAACACAGGUGGCCUACCUCCCGCGAGUGGAAAAAGAACACACCGGAUAAAAAAACAAGAGCGAGCACAGCAGCCCCUUCCUCUUGCGACUGGUGGUUUCCUCCUUUGGUAAAAAUAUCUAGGGUUCACAGCCGCCGGGCCCUCCCCGGCCGCCGCCGCCGGUAUCCUCCCCGGCCGCCGUCGUCCGUCUGCGCGACAAGGAGGGAGGGUAGGCGAGUUCCUCGUGGUCGCCUUCCGCUAGUCCCUCGUGGUGGCCAUGGCGAUUGGCGAGCUCCUCCCUGCUACCUAGGCUUGCGGCCAAUCCUCCUACCUUCUCCAUGGCGAGCUCGUCUCUGCUGCCUCCUUCCUUGUCUGCCAUCGAGCAGGCCAUGGUGACGGCCAGAUCCACACGUGCUCAUUAAGGUUCGACUUUGGUAAGUUCCAACCCCGUCCCCCGUAUCGGCACCGCUGGUUUUAGGUUCGGAAAAUUUUGUGUUCUCUAUUCGAUUCAGAUUCCCCUGCUUGAUUCAGGUUCAGCCCCGUCCCCGCACCAUGGAGCUCUGAUCCCACACCUGCCGCACCUCGGCAGAAUCCCCGUAGGACGACCGCCGCUCCUCCUUAACAUCGCUCCUCCAUCAUGUCCAAGUGUCCAAGUGUUGUGCGGGUCUGCAAGUCCUCCUCGUUUCCAAGUCUGAUUUUUUUUCUUUUUGGUCUGAUAUAUUUGUCUCUGAAAUUUUGAUGCAUGAAAUAUUGUAAGUUUGUAGCCUUGAAACUGUCUUGCAUUUGGUUCGAUCGAAGGAUUAUGAUAAAUUUGUUUGUGUGCGUGCAUUUCUGAUAAUGUUACUUCUUUGUGCAGUUUGAGAAAGCUUAGAUGAGCUUGUGUCUGCUAUUGAACACAGUUUAGAAACAACAAACUCUGUAGUUUAUGAGAGCUGAGAAAGAACUCUGUCGACACUGCUAGAUUCAGUUAAACUCUGUAGGCUACAUUCAGUUUCUUUACAACAUAAAAAUGCUUUAGACUGCUAGAUUUAGUAUAGUGAUAAUCCAAGCUUCACACUGCAUAAAAUGCUUCUUUUGUUGUGAUAAAAUGCUUGUUUUGACAUAUAUACUCUGAAUAUUUUUGCCUCUCCAUUGGAACACUCACAAAACUGAUUGCCGCCGUCCGGUCGGGUUCCUGGCAGUCUGAUCCCAGUGACACUGAACACUGAACCUUUAUUCCAGUGAAACCACAAUGACAAUGUCAGUACAGUGCAUAAAAACUGAACCUUUAAUCCCAUUUCAGUAGUGUGAGCACUAUAUCAACUAUUAGUUUUUUAGAUGACUUGCCCAUGCCCAUGCCUUUGUUUUGUUAACUUAAUUUUAGUUAAUUAACAAAUGUUUCAAUACUUUCCUUGUUUUAAGUUACUGCUAUGGAAGUAACUUAACUUGGCCAUGCCCAUAUCAUUUCAGUUAAUCAUGCAUGCCUAGUCGAUGGCAGCUGCUGCGGAAGUCGAGCCCGACGACGAAGGCUCCUCCUCAAUGUCCAAAUGCCUAAUUACCCAGGUGCUCAUUUGCCUCGUGCCCAAGUGCUCUACAAGUAUGCAGGUCCUUCUCCUCGUGCCCAAGUUUGAAAUUUUGAUCUUUUUGGAACCAUUUGUCUACGAAGCAAAAUAAUGUGCAGUAAGAUUCUGCCAUUAUGUUAACAUUAUGGGCAGUAAAAUUCUGUCAUUUUGCGUCUCUGCAUUUCAAUUAUCCACACAUAUUGAUUUGUGUAUUGAACAAAACAUAUAAGAUGUUCUUCGAAAGCUUGAUUAUUGAUUUUUUUAAAUGAUGUUGUCUUUUUUGAUUAAAUCCUAAACUGAAUUUAUAACUGAAUUUAAACUAAACUGAAUCAUUUAAUGCUAAAGUGAAGUUCAGUUCAGUUCUUUUUGCUACACGUAAUUAUCAUCCUUUGUUUUGUUUGUUUUGACACUAAUCUUUGCAAUCAAAAGCUAGAACAUGCUCAGUGGGUUCUGAAAACCACAUGAUGAGCUCAGUUAUUGUGCUAAUAACUGUAAAUUCAACUCUUUUUUCCUUUUUCUGAAAGUUUAUGUGCAUCUAAUUGUUCAAGUGAUGUGUUGCAAUCUACACCAGAGCUUGUGCAGUUUACAGAGUUGACAGGGACACGUUAUUAGGGCACAAGCAGAGCAAGCUCCAUAAGCUCAAAACACUAGCUAAUUUCAUGUAUUUUUAGCUUUAGAAGGAAGGGGGUCACAACUCAGUGAGACUACUCCAACAUGUCUAUAUUGUGAAGAUUAGCCAAUUUGAAUUUCAGUUUCAUUUCAAUUUCUCCUCACUGUCUUCACUUUUAAUCUCAUUUUCAGUUUGGUUCAACUCACCACAAGAAGUGGUAGCAAAGGUGGGCACGGGGAAGCAGCAGAGGCCGAACGCAGAAUCAGAAGCUCAGGCCGGUCGUGGAAGUUGCAACAAAGGCCGGCAUUGGGAAUCGGCACGAGUAGAGGCUGCACGGGGAACUAGCAGAAGCACAGGCAUCACCCACCACCACCAGCGGAAACAGUCGACGGCUGAAGCAGAAGAAGUCCUGGUAGCCGUGGGCUAGUUGCGCGCAGCAGGUGGGCAGCCAAAGUGGUGGCACAGGUGGUAAGCUGCAACAGGUGGGAGGAGCAUGUGGGAGACCGUGGCGGUGGCGCUGGUGAGCAUAGCAAGUGGGCGGCCAUGGUGGAUGUGCAGGUGCGCAGUAGCAGCAGGCCGCCUCCGUGGCGGUGAAGCAGGUAGGGGCAGCGUAGGUGGUUUCCUAGGAGGGGCGAAGGUGAUAGGCUACAACGCUUGUGCGCGGCGGAUGUGUUAUAUGUUGUAUGGAUUAUGGAUGUUAUAUAUAUGAUGUAUGGAUUAUGGAUGUUAUAUAUAUGAUGUAUGGAUUAUGUUAUAUAUAUAUAUAUAUAUAUAUAUAUGCUGUAUGGAUUAUGUUAUAUAUAUAUACAUAUGCUGUAUGGAUCAUGUUAUAUAUAUAUGUUGUAUGAAUUA